UACAGAGGGUGCAAGCGUUGUUCGGAAUUAUUGGGCGUAAAGGGCGCGUAGGCGGCCUGUUAAGUCGGACGUGAAAUCCCUCGGCUCAACCGGGGAACUGCGCCUGAUACUGGCGGGCUUGAAUUCGGGAGAGGGAUGUGGAAUUCCAGGUGUAGCGGUGAAAUGCGUAGAUAUCUGGAGGAACACCGGUGGCGAAGGCGGCAUCCUGGACCGACAUUGACGCUGAGGCGCGAAAGCCAGGGGAGCAAACGGG
This 253-nucleotide ribosomal RNA is filed under the name uncultured bacterium. Its description in RNAcentral is "partial 16S ribosomal RNA". It matches the Rfam family "Bacterial small subunit ribosomal RNA", at positions 524 to 776 of the family's 1533-position model. The record is from RNAcentral.